UUGUCCCCUCCAAUAAUAUAGCCGGUGUGAACUCAGUGCUUCCAAAACACUUCCUUCCCCAAAACUCUCUACCUGCCCAGGCGCUUGUCAUUCAAUCAAAGAGUUUCCUUGAGAUGGGUCGCUGUGGGUGCUGUUGUGCAUGCUCGACGCAAUUGUUCUCUUUCAUUUAAUUCCUAGAAUAUGUUGCAUACAUAAUGGCGGAUGAUGCAUGUUUCUAUGUGCUGCAUACAUAACCGUUGGAGGAUCAGGAAACAGCUCCUGCAAAGUGCUUGAGCUAUAGUGAUAAAAAUCGUUUUUUAAUUGGUGAAUUGGUUCUGGCCUGUUUGUCUUUCUUUCUGGGAAGCUGUGGAAUUUGGGUAUCGCAACUGGUUUUCAGGAGUUUGUUGGUCAUUUCAGAGGUUUCAAAGAAACAAGAUACUGCACAGCACUUGAUUCGUCGAGCCUAUACUUUCAGGAUUUGCUAAGAAACCAGGUCUUUAAAACUGGUGUUGUUAUGGACGACCAGCUGGACACUGCAUCAGGUGGGUUACAAAGCUGUCUCCCAGUUCAUGAUGCAUGGCCCAUGUGGAGCAGCAAAUCCUAAAUGCCCCUGCAUGUCCAAUGGCCAAUGCACAAAACAUUAUCCAAAAAAUUUUAGUGACGUAACGGUUAUGGAUGCAGACGGCUAUGCCAGGUAUAGGAGGCGGGAUACAAAACAAACCGUGGAGUGCAAUAAUAUACACUUGGAU
Daucus carota subsp. sativus is the source of this 728-nucleotide long non-coding RNA. RefSeq lists it as uncharacterized. Lineage: Eukaryota; Viridiplantae; Streptophyta; Magnoliopsida; Apiales; Apiaceae. The record is from RefSeq and is a predicted model, not a curated record. The transcript has 3 exons.